GCUGCUCUUUCUCCAGGGUACCAGAAGCCUCUAUCCCUGCUUCACCAUACAGUCCACAGGUCUGGGCUGUGCAAGGAGAGCAAGAUGGUGGGAAGCCAUGCUGUGUUUUGCUGAAGUUAAAUCUGAGAGCCGCAGAGUGUGGGAAGCAUCACCAUGAGUCUGUGCAGCAGCGUUUCUGGCAGCCUCGUAGGGGCAUGGGUGAACUGAGUUGUAAAGACUGGUCAGAGUGAAAGUGGUGGGUCUUGUCUGCUCAGCACCCACUGCCUUAUCUCCCAGUUACUGAGCAGCUCUAAAUCCAUAGGUUCAGCAGAGUUUACUCAAUCCCCAGCUCCAGGGCUGGGCAAGUGACCUAGGCCCGGCCAAUCACAAUAUUGAUUCUUCAAAGUCUGCUGUGAUUGAUUCAGGGGUCCAAUCUCCAUCCUCCCUGGUGGAGGGUGGUUGAGGCUGUCAUCUGGUUCCCAGAGUUCUCACUUGCCUUCUGUGAAGCCUCCUCUGCAUCCACCAGCUCCCCACAGCUCUGCCCCCAGAACUCAGCUCCCAUUGGCUCCUCCAGGUGGCCCAGAAAUGGGACAGGCAGCAUGGAGAGAGACAGUGUGUUAUAGGCUGCAUCGUGUCCCCUCACUCCCAAAUUCAUGGGUUGGAGUCCUAACCCUGAGGACCUCAGAAUGUGACUAUAUUUGGCAAUAGGGUCUUUAAAGAGGUAAUUAAAUUAAAAUGAGGUCAUAUGGGUGGGCCCUCAUCCAAUACGACUGUCCUUAUAAGAAGAGGAAAUUUGCAUACAGACAUGCACAGAGGGAAGACGACGUGAAGACACAGGAAGAAGAUAGGCCUCUACAGGCCAAGGAGAGACGCCUCAGAAGGAACCAACCCUGCUGACAUCUUGAUCUUGAACUUCUAGCCUCCUAAACUGAGAAAAUAAAUUUCUGUUGUUUAAGCC
RNAcentral lists this long non-coding RNA (937 nucleotides) under Equus caballus (horse). RNAcentral's name for it is "lncRNA (ENSECAG00000057708.1)". The record is from RNAcentral. Lineage: Eukaryota; Metazoa; Chordata; Mammalia; Perissodactyla; Equidae.